Molecule: ribosomal RNA, 253 nt
Filed under: uncultured bacterium
Lineage: Bacteria
Description: partial 16S ribosomal RNA
Rfam family: Bacterial small subunit ribosomal RNA
Source: RNAcentral
GACGGGGGAGGCAAGCGUUAUCCGGAAUCACUGGGCGUAAAGCGUCUGUAGGUGGUUAUGCAAGUCACUGGUGCAAAACUCGGGCUCAACCGGAGGAAAGCCAGUGAUACUGCAUGACUAGAGUGUGGGAGAGGUAGAAGGAAUUCCCUGAGUAGCGGUGAAAUGCGUAGAUACAGGGAAGAACACCGGAGGCGAAAGCGUUCCACUGGAACACAACUGACACUGAGGGACGAAAGCUAGGGGAGCGAAUGGG